This 852-nucleotide long non-coding RNA is filed under the name Homo sapiens (human). RNAcentral describes it as "HSALNT0139289". The record is from RNAcentral. Lineage: Eukaryota; Metazoa; Chordata; Mammalia; Primates; Hominidae.
CCAGACCCUGCGCGGCCUGCCGGCGGCUGGCGACCUCCCUUCCCCUCCCGAGGCGCCCGAGCCUCUGAUCCCCUCCCGGGGCGCCUGUGGCCUCCCUUCCCCUCCCGGGGCGCCCGAGCCUCUGAUCCCCUCCCGGGGCGCCUGUGGCCUCCCUUCCCCUCCUGGGGCGCCUGUGACCUCCCGUCCCCUCCCGCGGCUCCCGCGGCCUCCGACCUCCUGCCGGGGCGCCUCAAGGGCCCCUGCCCCACAUCAGAGGGUCUUGCGGUUUCCUGGUUUGGUUCAACAUCUCUGAAACCCAGAGGUGAAGAAGAAACCAUGGAGGAGAAUCCGAAACAGUCUUCCAGAUCAGACCUCUAAAAUAACUAAAUUCUUGUUAAUCAUUAGAUUCUCCCUUUUAUUUAAUGUGUAAGUCCAAGGGGAUUCCUUCUGCUUCCCCAUUCAAUUAGACAGCAACCUCUUCCUCUAAAGUUCUCUCAUCUGAAGCCAUCUGAGCAGGAGCACUUUGACCAACUCAAUUCUGCUCUGAUCUGGACUACUUCUCCCAGUUUAGGGAUCAGUAAAUUGCCAAACACUUCCCAAUUUAUCCCUGAAGGAAUCCCUGAAAAAUGAUGGCCUUUAUUCUCCCUCAGAGAGGGAGCUUGAGCUCUUGAGAAAGACAUGAAGGCCCUUGCCGCUGUCGGCAUCACUCCUUCCUCCCUAAUCCGGUCAGUUAAUUGCUGAGUGCUCGCUUCCUGAUCUGCGUGAUGGCCUCGGAACCGGGCUGCGUGUAGACCUGGGUGACUAUCAGCUCAGCUCCCAAGUGGAGGGCCUCGGAAGACGCUCUGUGCGGCCUACUAACAAGCACGAGGUAAC